Long non-coding RNA from Homo sapiens (human), 533 nucleotides. RefSeq lists it as uncharacterized. NCBI's taxonomy places the organism in Eukaryota, Metazoa, Chordata, Mammalia, Primates, Hominidae. The transcript has 3 exons. The record is from RefSeq and is a predicted model, not a curated record.
UCAGGCUCAUCCUGGAGCCAGCUCUGCAGAGGGAACAUGGGGGGAGGCGACUCACACCAUGACCUGUGUGGAGGUGGCCAUGGUCGGGUGAACCAAUGAACCAAGACUCCUGAGUGUGUUAAGUCCAAAGAGCAGGACUCCGUGAAGGAAAGAGGGAAGAGCUGCAGCGGGGAGGCUGAACAGGAUUUUAACAACGGCUUGAAGAAACAAACUUACCAUGAAAAUGCAGGGCAGUCCAGCCUUGUGCAGACAAAGGAGAAAUGAGCCUCACUCGGGCAAACAGUGCUGGCGACCUCCUCUCCCUCCCUCCACCAAGGAAAACAAAAGAAGGGCAAGGCCCAGAGUGGACAGAGGCUUCUUCCCUGGGUCAGAGAAACACGAGGUCUCGGGGCCCAAAUCCCAGCGCUGCCUGGAGGAAAGGACCCAGCACCUCCCAGCAAAGGCCUCUGUCCACAGCUCCCUUAGUCUGGGGCAGGGAAAUCUGUCUGCACCUUGCCUUGGCUUCUUUCCCUGGGCCCUGGGGGACAACUGCC